GACGAACGCUGGCGGCGUGCCUAAUACAUGCAAGUUGAGCGCUGAAGGUUGGUACUUGUCCCGACUGGAUGAGCAGCGAACGGGUGAGUAACGCGUGGGGAAUCUGCCUUUGAGCGGGGGACAACAUUUGGAAACGAAUGCUAAUACCGCAUAAAAACUUUAAACACAAGUUUUAAGUUUGAAAGAUGCAAUUGCAUCACUCAAAGAUGAUCCCGCGUUGUAUUAGCUAGUUGGUGAGGUAAAGGCUCACCAAGGCGAUGAUACAUAGCCGACCUGAGAGGGUGAUCGGCCAAAUUGGGAAUGAGACACGGCCCAAACUACUACGGGAGGCAGCAGUAGGGAAUCUUCGGCAAUGGACGAAAGUCUGACCGAGCAACGCCGCGUGAGUGAAGAAGGUUUUCGGAUCGUAAAACUCUGUUGGUAGAGAAGAACGUUGGUGAGAGUGGAAAGCUCAUCAAGUGACGGUAACUACCCAGAAAGGGACGGCUAACUACGUG
RNAcentral lists this ribosomal RNA (497 nucleotides) under uncultured bacterium. RNAcentral's name for it is "partial 16S ribosomal RNA". It matches the Rfam family "Bacterial small subunit ribosomal RNA", at positions 28 to 507 of the family's 1533-position model. The record is from RNAcentral.